Molecule: ribosomal RNA, 111 nt
Filed under: Cebus imitator (Panamanian white-faced capuchin)
Lineage: Eukaryota; Metazoa; Chordata; Mammalia; Primates; Cebidae
Source: RNAcentral
UUAUACUCAUAUAACCCUGAUCAUGCCCAAUCUCAUCUGACCUCAGCAGCCUAAACAGGGUCAGGCCUGGUUAGUACUUGGAUGGGAGGCGGGAAUGGGACAGAGUCUGGC